RNAcentral lists this ribosomal RNA (428 nucleotides) under Bacteroidota bacterium. RNAcentral's name for it is "Bacteroidetes bacterium partial 16S ribosomal RNA". It matches the Rfam family "Bacterial small subunit ribosomal RNA", at positions 355 to 776 of the family's 1533-position model. Lineage: Bacteria; Pseudomonadati; Bacteroidota. The record is from RNAcentral.
UAGGGAAUCUUCCGCAAUGGACGCAAGUCUGACGGAGCAACGCCGCGUGAGUGAAGAAGGAUUUCGGUUCGUAAAACUCUGUUGUUAGAGAAGAACAGCGCAUAGAGUAACUGUUAUGCGUGUGACGGUAUCUAACCAGAAAGGGACGGCUAACUACGUGCCAGCAGCCGCGGUAAUACGUAGGUCCCGAGCGUUGUCCGGAUUUAUUGGGCGUAAAGCGAGCGCAGGCGGUUAGAUAAGUCUGAAGUUAAAGGCAGUGGCUCAACCAUUGUAGGAUUUGGAAACUGUUUAACUUGAGUGCAGAAGGGGAGAGUGGAAUUCCAUGUGUAGCGGUGAAAUGCGUAGAUAUAUGGAGGAACACCGGUGGCGAAAGCGGCUCUCUGGUCUGUAACUGACGCUAAGGCUCGAAAGCGUGGGGAGCGAACAGG